UUUUUCAUGUGAAAAAGUCUGUUAAACAACGAAAGGCAUUUACCGAUUACUGCACCGCUGAAUUGUGAAUUAAUCUUAAACGAUGCAACAAACUCAACGGUAGAUUAGAUGUCACCAAAUAUGUUGUAAAUAUACCUCAGUGGACCCUUUCAUUGAGAUGUUUGAUCAUCAGCUGCGUCGUACACUAAUCUAUCUUCCACUUUGAGUCGGCCGCGUUCAGCCAUUUCUAUGUACAACAUAAGAUUUCUGUUUCACAAAUCUUUUUAUCUUUUACUUGUUUUGAUCAUUAGACUGCAGCCAUGCUGGGGUACUGCCUUGAGGAAGUUUAGUCAGUAAAUUUGGACAAGUACACCCACACGAAAAAAAGACCUCGGAUUUUUCGCGUGGAAUCAAGUACCCUGAACUCCUAAUAUGCCGCAAACCUCUUAUUUUGGUUCGGAAAAAGGGUGUUUAGUUUAUAACCAUACUGUAUUCAUGUUAAUUAGGAUUUGAAAUAAAUAUUGGGAAAUCUGUCUUCUUUAACAAUGUCUCACUGGAUAGUCUUUAACUGGGACUCAAUUAACUAUUUUACUUUUGUUGUGCCCUAGAAAAGAAGCACUUUUACCAUUUAUUUGGACUGCAACCAUGCUGGACUCAGUCAUUAGACUGCAGCCCUGCUGGACACCACCUUGGAGGUUUUAAUCAAACAAAUUGACUCCUAAUACUUAUUUUUUUAAGCCCAGCACUUAUUCUAUCGGUCUCUUUUUCCAAAUGGCUAAAUUAUUGGGACAUAACAAACCAACACUGGUUGUCAAAGCAGUAGGGGAAACAAACACAGACACAAAGACAUGCACAAAUAGAUAUAUAUGAAAUGCUUCCACACAAUUUCCAUCUACCAAAUUAUUCACUUACAAGGCAUUGGUUGGCUCAAGACUUUAAGUAGAAGACACACAAAGUGCUAUGCAUCCAUGUGAUUGCAAAACAAGCUUUCUUAAUCACACAGCUAUGUCUGUGCCUUUCUGUUGUGUUUUUGCUUUGAUUUAUGUCUCUCGACACUUGCAUAAAGCCACCUCCCUCCCUACACACUCCCAUUCAGGUGUGGAGACAUUUUUGUCUUAUAAGCUACUUGAAGGUCUCACUAGUGCCAAAGCCACAAUAAAAGUACCCAGUGCAUUCAGCAAAGUAGUUGAUGUGAGAAAGUGCCUCUAGUUAUAGAAGGCAUGCCAAAGCAGACAUUAGAAUUUGAGGGAGCCUUCCUACUCAUUGGAUCCUAUUAAGCUGUCCAGCCCAUGUCAACAUGGAAGACAGAUAUUAAAUGAUAAUGCUUAGGUAUGUAUGUAGAGAUAGAUAGACUGAUGGAUGUGUUUAUGUUUGAACUAGUGUCAAAUCUAAUAUGCUGUGUCUCAGUAUCUGCCAUAACUUCAUGGUUCAACAACAGUGAUCACAAGAAUAAGUACCACAGUCAAAUAUUGACUAAAUACUCUGGCAGUGGUCAGCAGCAUAGUUAGUGGGAGACAAUAAUUCCAAGUGACACUUUUGUUGAGGUGGUGUUUUGGGGUCUGACGUAGAAGCCUGUGUGGGGUAGAGGGAGCGUAGUAACUCAAGUUAGAGAAGCAUUGAUGACAAUUCAAAUACAAAACCCGGGAGAGGAAGGCCUCUCUGGGGAAUAUAUGAUAGUGCAGCAAAAUCUGAAGAGAAACCAACAGCCUGCUUUGGAUGAAGUGUCAUGACAGGAUGAACCAAGAAAUCUUUUGGAAGUACAUUAGACCAAAACUGUCUUCUGCCUUAUGAAGUACUUGUGUGCCUUAUUGUUUAGUUCUAAAAUUUUUGUUCCAUGUCACUUGCAAGUAUCCAACUUUCAUGCCUGUACAAUAAGAUUAAAGUGGCCAGAGAUUUGUAUGGUUUGAGCUUUGUGGGGAAAAUCUGGCUUAUCAAUAUCAUGUUCGGUUUAUAUCAUGGCAGACAAAGUCAAGCUUAGUUAGUUUUUAUCUCUUUUGAGCUGUUAUCCUUGCUCAAAGUGAAAUGAAAAUAUAUAAUCUAUAUUACAUCUAAAUACUAAAAACUUACAUUAUAUUAACAUUCACUGGAGUAGAAAACAAAAACUACCAAAAGAAUUCAUUUAUCUAUAAAACUGCAAAAUGCAAUGUAAUGCAAAGACAAAAAUAAGAAAAUUGUGAUGUCAUAAUGCAAUUAGAAAUGAUUUACCAGUUUUGAUAUUUUCAGUAACCAGUUGCAGUGAAAAAUUUCACAUUUCGAAUAAAUAUUUAAUUGUAAAAGUUUUGUAGCUCCACAUGUGGGCCAAAUACUUUUAGAAGAUACUAGUUCCUUGAAGAAUUUAGUGUAAUUUUAAAGAACAAGGAAGGUACAGCAUAAAAGAAUUUUGGUCAUCUUAAGAAAUGAGUGAUUCAAAAAGUUAUAAACAAAGCUGUGAGAAAAUAAGAUUGAAGCCAAUAGAGAAGAAGCAAUUGGAUGUGGUGCAUUUUCCAGACAAUCCUAUCAUUACAAACUGGGAACGUCUGGAAAAAGAGCGACUGAAGAAAUUAAAUUUAGGAUUUAACCGGUUGCAGGGUUCGGUUUAUCAGAUAGAAUUAGCAAAAGAACUUAAGAAACAGCGAGAAUUGGAUCCAAGUGCAAAAAUGAAAAGAUCACCAUCUCCCGUAGAAGAGGAAGAAGAAAAAGAAGAAUAUGUGUCAUCUGAACGUCAAAUAUCAUUUAAUCAACUAGCCCCCUUUAAAACGUACAAAACUAAAUAUACAUGUGGUUAUUUCUUUGAUUAUGAAAAUCAACACAAACGAAUUCGGAGGGGAAUUCCUCCUUGCAAUUUACCAUAUUGGCAAUCUAGGACAAAAUAUUAAAAUAGAAUCAUGUCCACACACACUCAGAUAUAUAUAUAUAUCAUGAGUAACUCUGGGUACUUGAGCCAGAGAGUGCAGCUUUAAAGAUCAAAAUCAUACAUCUAACAUAAGAACCAUCUGUUUGUGUACCAGCACUGCGCUGUACCUGCCUGUGAGAUGUUUGCGUUGCCGUGCUGGUCGUGUGUGGUAAUCUUUGCCCAACACUUGGCAUAUUAAUCAGAUUUCGACGAAUGUGCUGCAUCCGAUACAGAUUCCGUCGAAGGGAUUGUGCUUGGUUCAAAGUAUUCCAUUCUUCUUCUUCUCCUCCUCCUCCUCCUCCUACGUCUCUUUCAGGCGGAUUCUCUUUUUUCACUGGUUUGAACCUAAAUUGCAAAAUUUUACAAGAAAACAUUUAAAAAGUUAUAAACUAUAAGAAAGAAAA
Long non-coding RNA from Octopus bimaculoides (California two-spot octopus), 3255 nucleotides. Lineage: Eukaryota; Metazoa; Mollusca; Cephalopoda; Octopoda; Octopodidae. The record is from RefSeq and is a predicted model, not a curated record.